GACGAACGCUGGCGGCGUGCUUAACACAUGCAAGUCGAACGGAAAGGCCCUGCUUUUGUGGGGUGCUCGAGUGGCGAACGGGUGAGUAACACGUGAGUAACCUGCCCUUGACUUUGGGAUAACUUCAGGAAACUGGGGCUAAUACCGGAUAGGAGCUCCUGCUGCAUGGUGGGGGUUGGAAAGUUUCGGCGGUUGGGGAUGGACUCGCGGCUUAUCAGCUUGUUGGUGGGGUAGUGGCUUACCAAGGCUUUGACGGGUAGCCGGCCUGAGCGGGUGACCGGCCACAUUGGGACUGAGAUACGGCCCAGACUCCUACGGGAGGCAGCAGUGGGGAAUAUUGCACAAUGGGCGGAAGCCUGAUGCAGCAACGCCGCGUGCGGGAUGACGGCCUUCGGGUUGUAAACCGCUUUCGCCUGUGACGAAGCGUGAGUGACGGUAAUGGGUAAAGAAGCACCGGCUAACUACGUG
Molecule: ribosomal RNA, 468 nt
Filed under: uncultured bacterium
Lineage: Bacteria
Description: partial 16S ribosomal RNA
Rfam family: Bacterial small subunit ribosomal RNA
Source: RNAcentral